RNAcentral lists this long non-coding RNA (666 nucleotides) under Pongo abelii (Sumatran orangutan). Its description in RNAcentral is "lincRNA". The record is from RNAcentral. Lineage: Eukaryota; Metazoa; Chordata; Mammalia; Primates; Hominidae.
CCCGCGCGCCCGCGCGGCGGAGGAGAGGUGAUAAAUGUGAUGCUUCUAUAAUACAUUUGGAUGUUGUCAGCUAAGUUCACUUAGGAACUAAGGGGUUCCUCCAAAUGUUGGCUGAAAUUUGUCCUUGCACAUCCCAAGGCUCGUCUGCAAAGUCUACAAUUCAUAAUGGAGCUACUGUACUGGCUAUUGGAAAGAGGAGAUUCUGAAGAUAAGGAGGUAAAACCUGUUUAGAAAUUAAAAAUGAGUUACGAUUUAAAGAAAAUUCAGAUGACUCAUUGUGAGUGCUAGUUCUCUUGUAGGAUGCCACUGGAAAUGUUGAAAUGAAAAAUAUUCAGCCGUCGGUCUUUGAAAUUUCCUGUGAUGUGUUUCAAUCUAGAUGCAAAGAACAUGGAAAAAUCAAAGUGCUCGAGUGGUUUAAAUACGUUUUGGAUGUUCCUGUUUAUAGACUAUAAUACUUUUCCAAUUAAAAUCCUCAGUUGUCAUGCAGAAGAAGGUUAAGCUCUACUUGAUUGCCAGUUUUACUGAAAAUGCUUAGUAUUUUACAGUAUCACCAAAUAUAUUUUGUUUAGCCAAGGUAUAGGAAAAAUAAAAUAAAUUGUAUAGGUUGACUUUUUUCUAAAAUGUCUUUAUUGGAUAGAAUGAAUGUUUAUACCUGAAAAAAGAUUC